Molecule: RNA transcript, 5657 nt
Organism: Myotis daubentonii (Daubenton's bat)
Lineage: Eukaryota; Metazoa; Chordata; Mammalia; Chiroptera; Vespertilionidae
Gene: RRP12
Gene name: ribosomal RNA processing 12 homolog
Exons: 35
Source: RefSeq, a predicted model, not a curated record
GAAGCGGAGCGGGCUGAGAGCCCACGUGGGUUCUCCGCGUGUUGCUGCGUCCCUGGCAGCCGGUCCUGUAAACUUAGUCGACAUGGGUCGUUCCGGGAAGCUGCCCUCCGGAGUCUCGGCCAAGUUGAAACGCUGGAAGAAAGGCCAUAGCAGCGACAGCAACCCCGCCAUCUGCCGCCACCGCCAGGCCGCCCGCAGCCGUUUCUUCAGCCGGCCCUCAGGAAAGAGCGACUUGACAGUUGAUGCGUUGAAGUUGCAUAAUGAGCUGCAGUCAGGGUCCCUGCGCCCGGACAGGAGCGAAGCCGCGGAGGCGGCUAUGGAAGACGAGGAGGCGCCGGCUCUCACGGAGAAGUCCUCGGCCACCUUCCUAAGCGGCCUCUCCGACUGCACUAACGUCACCUUCAGCAAAGUGCAGCGCUUCUGGGAGUCCAACUCGGCCGCCCACAAGGAGAUCUGUGCGGUCCUGGCUGCUGUCACCGAGGUGAUCCGCUCCCAGGGUGGGAAGGAGACGGAGACCGAGUACUUUGCAGCCCUGAUGACGACAAUGGAAGCGGUGGAGUCCCCGGAGUCUCUGGCUGCUGUUGCUUACCUGCUGAACCUUGUCCUGAAGCGCGUGCCCAGUCCUGUGCUCAUUAAGAAGUUUUCGGAUACCUCAAAAGCCUUCAUGAGUAUCCUGUCAGCCCAGGCCAGCAGUGGCUCCACCUCUGCCCUCCGAUGGGUCCUCUCGUGCCUGGCCACCCUUCUGCGGAAGCAGGACCUGGAGGCCUGGGGCUACCCCGUGACCCUGCAGGUGUACCACGGGCUGCUGAGCUUCACCGUGCAUGCCAAGCCCAAGAUCCGGAAGGCUGCCCAGCAUGGCGUGUGCUCGGUCAUCAAAGGCAGUGAAUUCAUGUUUGGUGAGAAGGCUCCUGCCCACCACCCUGCUGCCACGUCCACCGCCAAGUUCUGCAUCCAGGAGAUUGAGAAGUCUGGAGGCUCCAAGGAGGCCACCACCACGCUGCACAUGCUGACACUGCUGAAGGACCUGCUGCCCUGCUUCCCGGAGGGCCUGGUGAAGAGCUGCAGUGAGACUCUCCUCAGGGUCAUGACCUUGAGCCAUGUGCUGGUGACAGCCUGUGCCAUGCAGGCCUUUCACAGCCUCUUCCAUGCCAAGCCUGGCCCAGGUACCCUGCCUGCAGAGCUCAAUGCCCAGAUCAUCACGGCCUUGUAUGACUACGUUCCCAGUGAGAAUGACUUACAGCCGCUGCUGGCCUGGCUUAAGGUCAUGGAGAAAGCUCACAUCAACCUGGUCAGGCUGCAGUGCGACCUCGGGCUGAGUCACCUCCCUCGCUUUUUUGGAACCGCCACGGCCUGCCUCCUCUCUCCGCACUCACAGGUGGUCACAGCUGCCACCCAGAGCCUCCAGGAGAUCCUGAAGGAUUGUGUCGCUCCCCACAUGGCUGACAUCGGCUCUGUGACCUCCUCAGCCUCAGGCCCUGCCCAGUGUGUCGCCAAGAUGUUCAGGGCAGUGGAGGAGGGCCUCACGUACAAAUUCCAUGCGGCCUGGAGCUCCGUGUUGCAGCUGCUGUGUGUCUUCUUCGAGGCCUGUGGGAGGCAGGCCCACCCUGUGAUGAAGAAGUGUCUCCAGUCCCUGUGUGACCUACGCCUCUCCCCCCACUUCCCUCACACAGCAGCUCUGGACCAGGCAGUGGGGGCUGCGGUGGCCAGCAUGGGGCCUGAGGUGGUUUUACAGGCUGUGCCGCUGGAAAUUGAUGGUUCUGAAGAGACUCUGGAUUUCCCACGGAGCUGGCUGCUGCCCGUCAUCCGGGACCAUGUCCGGGAAACGCGACUUGGUUUCUUCACCACCUACUUCUUGCCCCUGGCUACCACCCUGAAGAGCAAAGCAACGGACCUGGCCCAGGUGGACCGCAUGGUGGAGUCCAAGAUCUAUGACACGCUGCAGUGGCAGAUCUGGACCCUCCUGCCCGGGUUCUGCACGAGGCCCACAGAUGUAGCCGCCUCCUUUAAAGGGCUGGCACGGACACUGGGCACAGCGAUCAGCGAGCGUCCAGACCUGAGGGUCACGGUGUGCCAGGCCCUGCGCACUCUCAUCACCAAGGGCUGUGAGGCAGAGGCUGACCGUGCCGAAGUAAGCCGUUUUGCCAAGAACUUUCUGCCAAUCCUCUUCAACUUGUAUGGGCAGCCUGUUGCAGCCGGGGACACACCAGCUCCUCGCCGGGCCGUGCUGGAAACCAUCAAAACUUACCUUACUAUUACUGACCCUCAGUUGGUGAAUGGUUUCCUGGAAAAAGCCAGUGAGAAGGUGCUGGACCCUGCUAGCUCGGACUUCACCAGAUUGUCUGUCCUGGACCUGGUUGUGGCCUUGGCUCCCCACGCUGAUGAAGCUGCCAUCAGCAAGCUGUACUCCACCAUCCGGCCCUACCUGGAGAGCAAGGCCCAUGGGGUGCAGAAGAAGGCCUACCGCGUGCUGGAGGAGGUGUGUGCCGGCCCCCAGGGCCCCGGGGCCCGCUUCGUGCAGAGCCACCUGGAUGACCUGAAGAAGACCCUGCUGGACUCGCUGCGGACCACUUCCUCUCCUGCCAAGAGGCCCCGUUUGAAGUGCCUCAUACAUAUCGUGAAGAAGCUCACAGCCGAGCAUGAGGAGUUCAUUACUGCCCUUGUCCCGGAGGUGAUCCUGUGUACCAAGGAGGUGUCGGUGGGCGCGCGGAAGAACGCUUUCGCCCUGCUGGUGGAGAUGGGCCACGCUUUCCUUCGGUUUGGCCCGAGCCAGGAAGAGGCCCUGCAGCGCUACCUCGUCCUGAUCUACCCCGGCCUCGUGGGCGCUGUCACCAUGGUCAGCUGCAGCAUCCUGGCCCUGACCCACCUCCUUUUUGAGUUUAAAGGCCUGAUGGGGACCAGCACGGUGGAGCAGCUGCUGGAGAACGUGUGUCUGCUCCUGGCCUCCCGCACCCGUGACGUGGUCAAAUCGGCGCUGGGCUUCAUCAAGGUGGCCGUGGUGGUCAUGGACGUGGCACACCUGGCCAAGCACGUGCAGCUUGUGAUGGAGGCCAUCGGGAAACUGUCCGAUGACAUGCGGCGGCACUUCCGCAUGAAGCUUCGCAACCUGUUCACCAAGUUCAUCCGCAAGUUUGGGUUUGAGCUGGUGAAGGGGCUGCUGCCCGAGGAGUACCACAAAGUCCUGGUCAACAUCCGGAAAGCUGAGGCGCGGGCCAAGAGGCACCGUGCUCUGAGCCAGGCUGCUGAGGAAGAAGAGGAAGAGGAGGAGGAGGAGGAGCCUGCCCAGGGCAAGGGUGACAGCAUUGAGGAGAUUUUGGCCGACUCCGAGGACGAGGACAGUGAGGAGGAAGAAAGGAGCCGGGGCAAGGAGCAGCGGAGGCUGAGCCGGCAGAGGAGCCAGGCGUGGCUGAAGGAGGGUGGAGGGGAUGAGCCCCUCAACUUCCUCGACCCCAAGGUGGCCCAGCGAGUCCUAGCCACACAGCCUGGGACUGGCCGGGGCAAGAAGAAGGACCAUGGCUUCAAAGUGAGCGCCGAUGGCCGGCUGAUCAUCCGGGAGGAAGAGGAGGAUGCUGCCACCACCAAGAUGGAGGAAGAGGAAGGCUCUAAAGGGGAGGAUGAAGAGAUGGCUGACCUGAUGGAAGAUGUGGGCGUCAGGAGUAAAAAACACCAGAAGCUCAAGCGUCAGAAAGAGGCUGAUGAUGAGGAGCUAGAGAUGCCUCCUCAGUAUCAAGCUGGAGGCUCUGGCAUCCAUCGCCCUGUGGGCAAGAAGGCUACCCCCGGGGCCGAAUACAAGGCCAAGAAAGCAAAGGGUGACGUGAAGAAGAAAGGUCGGCUCGAUCCCUAUGCUUACAUCCCCCUCAACAGAACCAAGCUCAACCGCAGGAAGAAGGUGAAGCUGCAGGGACAGUUCAAAGGCCUGGUGAAAGCUGCCCAGCGGGGAUCUCAGGUGGGACACAAGCUCCGCAGAAAGGCUCGUCGGCCCUGAACCCCAGGCCCCAGGGCUGCUCUGCGGCCCAGGCUGUGGCACCGCCAGGACUCAGAAUGAACUGUAGGAAUCAGGGCUUGGUUCCCAGAGGCACAGGAUUUGGGGAAUUCCAAACGGGAAUCGCCUUUUAGAGAUGUCCUUGGGACCUGGAGGUGGGGACGUGCCUCAGUGCCUGUGCAUAGGCCAGCGAGGCGCUGGUGCCUUCUGCCCGGAGCGGCCUGUGCAGCAGAGCGGACGAUCUUCCAUUCGCUCCAGCUGCUCACGCCACAGGGCACUCUCAGCCCGGCUGUCGUCCAGGUGUGUGAGGUUUGCUGUGACCGACAUAGAAUAAACCUGCAUCGCCACGCAUUGUCCCUACAAACAUUGUGUUUCAUCACCUGCCUCCUUCGGGGACAAGAACAGUGUCUGGUCAUUGGCAACAAUGUCUUGACCCCUUCCUCUCAAUCCUGGCAUCCAGUCCGGGGCAUAGGGUGAUAGCUCAGGGACACCCACCUGGUUGAGCACCACACUCAGACUAGAAAGGGAACUACAGCGUGGCUGCCUCUGAGCUCGUUUCUCCCAGCCACUUUGUUCACGGAUUCAGCAGUGUUUCCAAGGCCCUCCGUCUGCCAAGCACAGCCUGAUUACCCACCUGUCUGAUCCGCACCUCCUCUUUUUUCCAGACCAGUGGGUCAGGUUGUGGUACACAGCAGAGUGAAUCCUGCUGCCCAGGAUUGUUGGUCUGGAGCAGAGAAGAUGCAGACCCUCCUCGCUCCUCAGGUCCCUUGUCCAUCAGGGUUCUCCUUGUGUGUGGGUUCCCAGCAGGCAUCAAGAAGCAAAGACCCCAGGGCUACCGCCACCCCCAAAUAUGAGGGUUUAUGCUUUAGCCCCUGGCAUUUGAUUGACAGCUUUCUUCAUCUCAGAACCUUUCUGUUUGAGAUGAGACCAAACACAUAUGCAAACAUUACUUAAUCACUUCCAUCCCGUUUUAUGCCCUUGGCUCUGAUGAAGUUCCCAGGAGGCCCUGUGCACUUUCCCACUCAUCCUCUGUGGGCACUCAAGUCUUGACCCCAAAUUAGGACGUUUCCUCCUGCUGAUUUUGGGCUAGGAAGCAUGAAGGAACUACACUUCGCCCAGAGGUGGCGCUGUGCACAUGCCUUGUUCACAGUCCGGAAUGGGACAGCAGCAAGAAAAGAAAGGUCGUCAAAAGAAGUGGUGUUAGAGAUUUGCAAAGGUGGUCCAACCGUGACCCCCAUCGUUACACUUCUGGGUACAAGGGCAACUACAAUGGUUGAGGGCCUCCACCAAGAUCCAGAUUUGCCACUUUAACUCCAUUGUGCUUUUGGCAAUGCCAGACUCAGAGACUUCUUCAGGCUCUUUUCUGGGGUCAAUCCUCUACUCGUUCACAGAAAUGGAAGACAGAAUACCCCACCUGACUGCACCAAAACAGCAGCCUUUGUAUUGGCAUGGGACCUGGUCAGGCAGUUUGCUCAUGACACGUCUGGACACAGGAGGAUCAAGUUAAGCCAGGCCUACCCCAGGCACCAGUUUACUAGUAUUCCUGACAGUGGCUGUCAUGUUAGGUCUGUGGUCUUAUUUGCAAGCCUGCCUCAGUCCACAUGCUUGGUCAUGUUUUUCUGUAUUGUUUGCAACAUGUGAGAAAAUUAAGACAUUAAAGUAGUCUGUUUUUAUUCUU